GUGAGUAAACCGAAAUGAAAGGAUCAAGUACCCCCUACAGUUCUUUUUUAGUUACUAGAACUCUUGUGUAAGUUAACUAUACUAACUAAGCAUUUGUCAGUACAACAUACUAUUCCUAUUUCACUUAAAUUAGUUUUUUCAAGGCAAUCAGUUUGCAUACUUUUUUUAAGUAAGCCCAACUUAUUAGAUUUUACAGUGUAUUACUAACAAACGUAACUUCACUGAUAACCUACAUGGAUGUAAAUGUCAAAAGACCAGUAGUUCGGAUAACGUAUGCAUGCUAGUUAUGAAAAGUACAGUUGCUCUCUACUCUACAUUCAUUAUAACUAGCAGGCUCAUACACACACAGUAACCAUUAUGCUGAUAGUUGUGUUGACGUGGUGUUCACCCUUCUGUACAGUUCUCAUCUAGGAAUAUACUAAAAUAUGUUUUUUUUUUUUUUUUAAUUGGCCAUGGCCAGAUGCACUCAGGAAAUUUUUGCAGAGGCCGUAAUAUAUAAUGUGAUGUGAUUAUAUAUAACUUUUAUAAUCACAUCACAUUAAUACUACUUAUUGUAAUCAGUAGUAUUAUUUAGCCUUGUAGCAGCCUAAUAGAUUAGUAAUAAUAGUAGUGGUGGUAGAACUUGUAAUUUAUCUACUACAAGUUACAUGGUCAGAGAUAAAAUGUAUUUGUACAAUGCAACUAUGUGGUAGGAUGAUAGAAAUGACCAAUGCAAUUGUGUAACAAACAGCAUGGAUGUGUUUAAAUACAUACAGCUGCAGGAGUAGGGACAUCCAGUAGUGGUACUCCAGGGACCAGUGACACACAGGCCAGGAACACACAGCCUGCAUCAAGUGAAGGUGAAGGGACACCCAGGACCACAUCAAGCACUCAGGGCACCAGUGAAAGACAGACGACUGAGACCAGGGACACGCAGCCUGAAUGAAGUGAAGGGGCCACAUUUAGCAUUCCAGGCCCCAGUGAAACACAGACCACUGAGACCAGGGAUACUCAGCCUGAAGCAAGUAAGACCCUUGAAUACCGUUUAUUCAACCACUAUUUAAAACUUCAGUGACUUGUCUCCAAGUAAACAUUGACAUUCCUCAUUAAUUAAUUUCAAACACUACUGGUCUAUUAUACUCUAUAUGCUGGUCUAUACUAUAUCUUCUUUCUUCCUUAAGUUUAUUUCUUAUGUUGGUAAAUAUCCUCGAACAUUCUUUGUAGCAUUUGUGUAGUGGGGGGGGGGGGAUGGGCAAAACUCAAUCUCGCCUAGGGCAACCAAAGGGCUAGAGCCGGCCCUGGUUAAAAUCAUUCGCGAAACUACCGCCAGGUGGCGCAAAGGGACGGAUUGCGAAAUGAAUGUAAUUGUAAAAUGAGAUAAAAGGAGGAAGUAAAACAACAAUAACAUUAUGGUAUAACAUUGUAACAUCUUUAAAAACCAUUAAAAAAUUUACAGUGAGUUAAUUUCAAAAUGUAGGAUAGUCUUAGGCUACAGUCUACUCAUCAAAAAUUAAAAGACCUUAACUCAAAAGAUCUUAUGCAUGCUAUUGUU
Cyprinus carpio (common carp) is the source of this 1531-nucleotide long non-coding RNA. NCBI's taxonomy places the organism in Eukaryota, Metazoa, Chordata, Actinopteri, Cypriniformes, Cyprinidae. The record is from Ensembl.